UGCGCGGCUUGCUCCAGCAAGGUAAAAUUUCCCACUGCGAGGCAGGCAGUGAUGCUGCGGCCGCUUCGCACUGUGGCUCCUGCCGACCGCCAGGCGCUGUUACAGUGGAUGCGAACUAACCGUAAGUCAUUAUAUCGUACUGCAGAAACCAGCUCAACUAUGCAAAACUACCACCAGGACUGGCCGACACCAGGAGGGAUUCCAGAGACCACACUGCAGGGAGCAUACAGAAAGAAAAUUAAGAGAUCAGAUGCAGCAGCAGCCGGAACCCACAGUUCACCUUGGUGCAUUCCUUUAUGAUGAAGACUUAUUGAUUCAUUAUAUGAGAAAGGAAAAAUGAGCAGAAACUACUGUAUGAUGUGCAGCUCACACCAGACAGCAACUUUAGGGUUAUCUUUCCAGUUCAGCAGUGCAACUCUAUGGAGUAGAAUUGAAAGGAGACUUUUCGCCAAUUGCAGGAAAUGGUCAUAAAAAAAUACCUGCUCACUGACAGAAUAAAGAUGGAGUGUCACUCUGUCACCCUGACUAGAGUGCAGU
Molecule: long non-coding RNA, 537 nt
Filed under: Homo sapiens (human)
Lineage: Eukaryota; Metazoa; Chordata; Mammalia; Primates; Hominidae
Description: HSALNT0376344
Source: RNAcentral